UUAAGUGACUAAGCGUACACGGUGGAUGCCUAGGCAGUCAGAGGCGAUGAAGGGCGUGCUAAUCUGCGAAAAGCGUCGGUAAGGUGAUAUGAACCGUUACAACCGGCGAUACCCGAAUGGGGAAACCCAGUGUGUUUCGACACACUAUCAUGUCAUGAAUACAUAGUGGCAUGAGGCGAACCGGGGGAACUGAAACAUCUAAGUACCCCGAGGAAAAGAAAUCAACCGAGAUUCCCCCAGUAGCGGCGAGCGAACGGGGAGGAGCCCAGAACCUGAAUCGGCUUGUGUGUUAGUGGAAGCGUCUGGAAAGUCGCGCAGCAAAGGGUGAUAGCCCCGUACACUAAAAUGCACAGGUCGUGAGUUCGAUGAGUAGGGCGGGACACGUGACAUCCUGUCUGAAUAUGGGGGGACCAUCCUCCAAGGCUAAAUACUCCUGACUGACCGAUAGUGAACCAGUACCGUGAGGGAAAGGCGAAAAGAACCCCGGCGAGGGGAGUGAAAUAGAACCUGAAACCGUGUACGUACAAGCAGUGGGAGCACCUUCGUGGUGUGACUGCGUACCUUUUGUAUAAUGGGUCAGCGACUUAUAUUUUGUAGCAAGGUUAACCGUAUAGGGGAGCCGUAGGGAAACCGAGUCUUAACUGGGCGAAUAGUUGCAAGGUAUAGACCCGAAACCCGGUGAUCUAGCCAUGGGCAGGUUGAAGGUUGGGUAACACUAACUGGAGGACCGAACCGACUAAUGUUGAAAAAUUAGCGGAUGACUUGUGGCUGGGGGUGAAAGGCCAAUCAAACCGGGAGAUAGCUGGUUCUCCCCGAAAGCUAUUUAGGUAGCGCCUCGUGAACUCAUCUUCGGGGGUAGAGCACUGUUUCGGCUAGGGGGCCAUCCCGGCUUACCAAACCGAUGCAAACUCCGAAUACCGAAGAAUGUUAUCACGGGAGACACACGGCGGGUGCUAACGUCCGUCGUGAAGAGGGAAACAACCCAGACCGCCAGCUAAGGUCCCAAAGUCAUGGUUAAGUGGGAAACGAUGUGGGAAGGCAUAGACAGCCAGGAUGUUGGCUUAGAAGCAGCCAUCAUUUAAAGAAAGCGUAAUAGCUCACUGGUCGAGUCGGCCUGCGCGGAAGAUGUAACGGGGCUAAACCAUGCACCGAAGCUGCGGCAGCGACGCUUAGGCGUUGUUGGGUAGGGGAGCGUUCUGUAAGCCGUUGAAGGUGGCCUGUGAGGGUUGCUGGAGGUAUCAGAAGUGCGAAUGCUGACAUAAGUAACGAUAAAGCGGGUGAAAAGCCCGCUCGCCGGAAGACCAAGGGUUCCUGUCCAACGUUAAUCGGGGCAGGGUGAGUCGACCCCUAAGGCGAGGCUGAAAAGCGUAGUCGAUGGGAAACAGGUUAAUAUUCCUGUACUUGGUGUUACUGCGAAGGGGGGACGGAGAAGGCUAGGCUAGCCGGGCGACGGUUGUCCCGGUUUAAGCGUGUAGGGGGUGUGACCUGGUAAAUCCGGUUGCAUAUCAACCCUGAGGCGUGAUGACGAUGCACUACGGUGCAGAAGUAGUUGAUGCCCUGCUUCCAGGAAAAUCCUCUAAGCUCCAGGUAACAUUAAAUCGUACCCCAAACCGACACAGGUGGUCAGGUAGAGAAUACCAAGGCGCUUGAGAGAACUCGGGUGAAGGAACUAGGCAAAAUGGUGCCGUAACUUCGGGAGAAGGCACGCUGGCAUGUAGGUGAAGUCCCUUGCGGAUGGAGCUGAAGCCAGUCGAAGAUACCAGCUGGCUGCAACUGUUUAAUAAAAACACAGCACUGUGCAAACACGAAAGUGGACGUAUACGGUGUGACGCCUGCCCGGUGCUGGAAGGUUAAUUGAUGGGGUCAGCCGCAAGGCGAAGCUCUUGAUCGAAGCCCCAGUAAACGGCGGCCGUAACUAUAACGGUCCUAAGGUAGCGAAAUUCCUUGUCGGGUAAGUUCCGACCUGCACGAAUGGCGUAAUGAUGGCCAGGCUGUCUCCACCCGAGACUCAGUGAAAUUGAACUCGCUGUGAAGAUGCAGUGUACCCGCGGCAAGACGGAAAGACCCCGUGAACCUUUACUAUAGCUUGACACUGAACAUUGAGCCUUGAUGUGUAGGAUAGGUGGGAGGCUUUGAAGCGUGGACGCCAGUCUGCGUGGAGCCAUCCUUGAAAUACCACCCUUUAAUGUUUGAUGUUCUAACUCGGCCCCGUGAUCCGGGGUGAGGACAGUGUCUGGUGGGUAGUUUGACUGGGGCGGUCUCCUCCCAAAGAGUAACGGAGGAGCACGAAGGUUAGCUAAUCACGGUCGGACAUCGUGAGGUUAGUGCAAAGGCAUAAGCUAGCUUGACUGCGAGAGUGACGGCUCGAGCAGGUACGAAAGUAGGUCUUAGUGAUCCGGUGGUUCUGAAUGGAAGGGCCAUCGCUCAACGGAUAAAAGGUACUCCGGGGAUAACAGGCUGAUACCGCCCAAGAGUUCAUAUCGACGGCGGUGUUUGGCACCUCGAUGUCGGCUCAUCACAUCCUGGGGCUGAAGUAGGUCCCAAGGGUAUGGCUGUUCGCCAUUUAAAGUGGUACGCGAGCUGGGUUUAGAACGUCGUGAGACAGUUCGGUCCCUAUCUGCCGUGGGCGUUGGAAGAUUGAGAGGGGUUGCUCCUAGUACGAGAGGACCGGAGUGAACGCACCACUGGUGUUCGGGUUGUCAUGCCAAUGGCAUUGCCCGGUAGCUAAGUGCGGAAAAGAUAAGCGCUGAAAGCAUCUAAGCGCGAAACUUGCCUCAAGAUGAGUCUUCCCUGGGCCUUUAAGGCCCCUGAAGGAACGUUUAAGACUAAGACGUUGAUAGGCUGGGUGUGUAAGUGCAGCGAUGCAUUGAGCUAACCAGUACUAAUGAUCCGUGAGGCUUAACCU
This 2905-nucleotide ribosomal RNA is filed under the name Serratia marcescens. Its description in RNAcentral is "bacterial LSU rRNA". It matches the Rfam family "Bacterial large subunit ribosomal RNA". Lineage: Bacteria; Pseudomonadati; Pseudomonadota; Gammaproteobacteria; Enterobacterales; Yersiniaceae. The record is from RNAcentral.